Molecule: ribosomal RNA, 1145 nt
Filed under: Gloeothece aequatorialis
Lineage: Bacteria; Bacillati; Cyanobacteriota; Cyanophyceae; Chroococcales; Aphanothecaceae
Description: 16S ribosomal RNA
Rfam family: Bacterial small subunit ribosomal RNA
Source: RNAcentral
CGAAAGCCUGACGGAGCGACGCCGCGUGAGGGAGGAAGGCCCUUGGGUUGUAAACCUCUUUUGAUGGGGAAGAAUUCUGACGGUACCCAUCGAAUCAGCAUCGGCUAACUCCGUGCCAGCAGCCGCGGUAAUACGGAGGAUGCAAGCGUUAUCCGGAAUUAUUGGGCGUAAAGCGUCCGCAGGUGGCUCUUCAAGUCGGCUGUCAAAGCAUGGAGCUUAACUCCAUAGAGGCGGUGGAAACUGAAAGGCUAGAGGCCGGUAGGGGUAGUGGGAAUUCCCAGUGUAGCGGUGAAAUGCGUAGAGAUUGGGAAGAACAUCGGUGGCGAAAGCGCACUACUGGGCAGGACCUGACACUGAGGGACGAAAGCUAGGGGAGCGAAAGGGAUUAGAUACCCCUGUAGUCCUAGCCGUAAACGAUGGAGACUAGGCGUAGCUUGUAUCGACCCGAGCUGUGCCGAAGCUAACGCGUUAAGUCUCCCGCCUGGGGAGUACGCACGCAAGUGUGAAACUCAAAGGAAUUGACGGGGGCCCGCACAAGCGGUGGAGUAUGUGGUUUAAUUCGAUGCAACGCGAAGAACCUUACCAGGGCUUGACAUCUGUAGUACCUGAGUGAAAGCUUGGGGUGCCUUCGGGAGCUACAAGACAGGUGGUGCAUGGCUGUCGUCAGCUCGUGUCGUGAGAUGUUGGGUUAAGUCCCGCAACGAGCGCAACCCUCGUUCUUAGUUGCCAGCAUUAAGUUGGGCACUCUAGGGAGACUGCCGGUGACAAACCGGAGGAAGGUGGGGAUGACGUCAAGUCAGCAUGCCCCUUACGUCCUGGGCAACACACGUACUACAAUGGUCGAGACAGAGGGCAGCGACCUCGCAAGAGCAAGCGAAUCUCAUCAAACUCGGCCUCAGUUCAGAUUGCAGGCUGCAACUCGCCUGCAUGAAGGAGGAAUCGCUAGUAAUCGCCGGUCAGCAUACGGCGGUGAAUUCGUUCCCGGGCCUUGUACACACCGCCCGUCACACCAUGGGAGCUGGCCACGCCCGAAGUCGUUACCCUAACCCCGAAAGGGGAGGGGGAUGCCGAAGGCAGGGCUAGUGACUGGGGUGAAGUCGUAACAAGGUAGCCGUGCCGGAAGGUGUGGCUGGAUCACCUCCUUU